RNAcentral lists this ribosomal RNA (492 nucleotides) under uncultured bacterium. RNAcentral's name for it is "partial 16S ribosomal RNA". It matches the Rfam family "Bacterial small subunit ribosomal RNA", at positions 29 to 507 of the family's 1533-position model. The record is from RNAcentral.
AGUGAACGCUGGCGGUAGGCCUAACACAUGCAAGUCGAACGGCAGCACAGUAAGAGCUUGCUCUUACGGGUGGCGAGUGGCGGACGGGUGAGGAAUACAUCGGAAUCUACUUUUUCGUGGGGGAUAACGUAGGGAAACUUACGCCAAUACCGCAUACGACCUACGGGUGAAAGCAGGGGAUCUUCGGACCUUGCGCGAUUGAAUGAGCCGGUGUCGGAUUAGCUAGUUGGCGGGGUAAAGGCCCACCAAGGCGACGAUCCGUAGCUGGUCUGAGAGGAUGAUCAGCCACACUGGAACUGAGACACGGUCCAGACUCCUACGGGAGGCAGCAGUGGGGAAUAUUGGACAAUGGGCGCAAGCCUGAUCCAGCCAUACCGCGUGGGUGAAGAAGGCCUUCGGGUUGUAAAGCCCUUUUGUUGGGAAAGAAAAGCAGCAGGUUAAUACCCCGCUGUUCUGACGGUACCCAAAGAAUAAGCACCGGCUAACUUCGUG